AAAACAUAUAAAUUAUAAAUCAUUUAAUAUAAUAUAAUAUGUUACAACUAAUAAUUUAAAACAUAAUUUCUUCUUAUAACUUAGGAUAAUAUUAUAUUCAAUAUAGAUGCCUAAGGUCUGACUUGGCUUGUUUUCAUAAACAAAUUAUUAUUAAGUACCUUGUACCUACUAAAACAUUUAACACUAAACAGUCAUGGAAGAGCCCUAUGUCGAUGGAUAGUUUCUACCUGCAAGCCAAAUUUUCGAAAGAAUAAAAUAAGAACUCACAGCUUUAGAACAUGCGAAAGCAAUAAUAUAAUUUGUAGCCAAGCCAGACCUUGGGCUUCAAUAUAUUAUCCAAAGUCAUUCUAUUCUGUGGUUAUAAGAAGAAAUUAUAUUUUAAGUUGUUGUAAAUAUUAAAUAUAUUUCAGGAUUGACCAUUGAAUUUAGAUCUCACUUUUGUAGUUGAAGUCAACAACCAAGGCAUAUAUUAAACGCAUACGCAUCGUAAUAUUGAAUUUGGCUCUCAAUUCAGUAUUCACGCGAAGUUGUCACUGUUAGUGUCUAUAUAGUGAGAUAUCGAGAAUCGAGAUUUGACACAGCAAGACGGCGCCCGGUGCUCGCUCGGGCACGUUCGCAAGAUUUUAUCGCACAGCUCCCACCCCAUUGCACCACGACCACAUGCACCGUGGUCCCAAUUAUCUAUUAUUUUAGUAUUUAUUAGUAAUGAUCUUACACUAUCAAUUUGUGCUAAACAUUAAAAUAAUAAUUAAUACUAAAUCCCAGUUAUUAACACGUUCAACAUCACAAACAUUGCCCCCCAGUCACCAGUGUUGACUAGUGACUACCCGUCGACAAAUAAACUAAAUAAUAAAUAUUAAAUAUAGUGUUUGUUUUGACCAUGACAAUUAUAAUUAUUAAAAUAUUUUGUCAUGGUUUUGACAAUUCAUUAUUUUGACCGACAAAAGGCGAAAUAAUGUUUUGAAAAAAAUUCUAGCGAUCGAUCAGGAUCAGGUAACGUUUAGAUCUAGAAUUCUAGAAUCUAGCAAUAUAAUUGGUUUUUAUUUUUAGUACUGGUUAUUAUUUUCCCCCAAAACGACUUCGUCGUCGAUCGUCGAUAACAACAAAGAACAAUAAUAGUGUAAUACCUAUACCGUGUAUUCUAUAAAUAAAUUUUACUAUUUACCGUAACAAUAACAUUUAUUAUAAAAUAUUUUCUAUUGUAUACAGCGUAUUCUUACAAAAUACAGGGUACAUAGAAUAAAGUAUCAAGUAUGUCGCUGGCUGCUGCACAUAAGUGGCCGAUGAUGUCGACACGUCAUAUUCUACCGAAUGUAUUUUUGGCGCGGCGAUUGCCAUCGCGAAAUCGUGAAAGAUUCUGAUAAUACUGACUCAACGUGUAAUUAUUAACGGACACCGGCCGGCAAAAUCUCUUGUAGUCUUAUACUCUUAUGCGUUCGGUGAAAAAGUCGAACGAGGAAUUUAAUAGAAUUGUCAAUCUAAAAGUUGGUGAAUUGACUCAUUUAACUGAGCUUCAACUUAACUCAGGACUGAAUUCAACUUAUUCAGUCAGUUCAUCAAAUUGAGUUGAAUUUCCCAUC
This is a long non-coding RNA of Aphis gossypii (cotton aphid), 1580 nucleotides long. RefSeq lists it as uncharacterized. NCBI's taxonomy places the organism in Eukaryota, Metazoa, Arthropoda, Insecta, Hemiptera, Aphididae. The record is from RefSeq and is a predicted model, not a curated record. The transcript has 4 exons.